GACGAACGCUGGCGGCGUGCUUAACACAUGCAAGUCGAACGGAAAGGCCCUGCUUUUGUGGGGUGCUCGAGUGGCGAACGGGUGAGUAACACGUGAGUAACCUGCCCUUGACUUUGGGAUAACUUCAGGAAACUGGGGCUAAUACCGGAUAGGAGCUCCUGCUGCAUGGUGGGGGUUGGAAAGUUUCGGCGGUUGGGGAUGGACUCGCGGCUUAUCAGCUUGUUGGUGGGGUAGUGGCUUACCAAGGCUUUGACGGGUAGCCGGCCUGAGAGGGUGACCGGCGACAUUGGGACUGAGAUACGGCCCAGACUCCUACGGGAGGCAGCAGUGGGGAAUAUUGCACAAUGGGCGGAAGCCUGAUGCAGAAACGCCGCGUGCGGGAUGACGGCCUUCGGGUUGAAAACCGCUUUCGCCUGUGACGACGCGUGAGUGACGGUAAUGGGUAAAGAAGCACCGGCUAACUACGUG
This 468-nucleotide ribosomal RNA is filed under the name uncultured bacterium. RNAcentral describes it as "partial 16S ribosomal RNA". It matches the Rfam family "Bacterial small subunit ribosomal RNA", at positions 28 to 507 of the family's 1533-position model. The record is from RNAcentral.